UCAGGUACUAUAUUGAGAAAGUGGG
This 25-nucleotide non-coding RNA is filed under the name Mus musculus (house mouse). Lineage: Eukaryota; Metazoa; Chordata; Mammalia; Rodentia; Muridae. The record is from RNAcentral.